CCUACGGGAGGCAGCAGUGAGGAAUAUUGGUCAAUGGACGAGAGUCUGAACCAGCCAAGUAGCGUGAAGGAUGACUGCCCUAUGGGUUGUAAACUUCUUCUAUAUGGGAAUAAAACGUUCCACGUGUGGGAUUUUGUAUGUACCAUAUGAAUAAGCAUGGGCUAACCCCGUGCCAACCGCCGCGGUAAUACGGAGGAUCCGAGCGUUAUCCGGAUUUAGUGGGUUUAAAGGGAGCGUAGGUGGAUUGUUAAGUCAGUUGUGAAAGUUUGCGGCUCAACCGUAAAAUUGCAGUUGAAACUGGCAGUCUUGAGUACAGUAGAGGUGGGCGGAAUUCGUGGUGUAGCGGUGAAAUGCUUAGAUAUCACGAAGAACUCCGAUUGCGAAGGCAGUUCACUGGACUGCAACUGACACUGAGGCUCGAAAGUGUGGGUAUCAAACAGGAUUAGAUACCCGAGUAGUC
RNAcentral lists this ribosomal RNA (460 nucleotides) under uncultured bacterium. Its description in RNAcentral is "partial 16S ribosomal RNA". It matches the Rfam family "Bacterial small subunit ribosomal RNA", at positions 338 to 795 of the family's 1533-position model. The record is from RNAcentral.